CUCUUGUGUUUUAAUUUUGGUGCUCUCCUCCCGCACACAGUUCCAUUCCAUUCUCCAUCCACUGCCUAGUUUCUCUCUCGCUCGAAAUUGGUGCUCCCUGCACGCGUUUCUCCUCCACCGUCGCUGGCCAGGAGCACGAAGCCCAUUCACCACGUCACGUUUCUCCUCCACCGUGACAUCCACCACGUCGCCUCCUUGCGUCUUCGCGUUUUCCUCCUCUACCCUUUCUAGGGUUUGCACACUUCAAUUUUUUCCCAACCCAAACCGCGCAACCCCCUGAUUCUGUCAUACUUCGCCUCUGCAACGAAGGAAUUACAGUGUUGCCCCCUGAUUCUGUCAUACUUCGCCUCUGCAACGAAGGAACUCUAUUCACUGCCCGAUUAGUUUGCAAGUCCACUCUUUGAGUUGCCGAGCUUCGUUAGUUAGAGUCGAGGCACUUUCUAGCGACUUCCAGAUGCGAGAGGUACUCGCGGCCAACGGGGAAAUGGUGACUCUGCUGCUUAGCCAUCUGGGCUGGAUUUGUCCACUCUAGUCUUUCUUUUAGAGCCACGACCCAUGUACUGUCUGUUAUCUUUACUUUCCCAAUUUUAUUACUGUUGAAUAUGUGUAUCUGGUUCAUUUGGCAUCGAGGUGUGCCUUGGUUUGUGAGGAGUGGUGUUUAAACUCCGAGACUGCGCUAAGAUAACUUCUAUGUGACGUUUCCUUUUAAUUUGGGUUAUUAGUUAAAAUGGGACGUUACAAAGACCA
Long non-coding RNA from Vigna unguiculata (cowpea), 747 nucleotides. RefSeq lists it as uncharacterized. The record is from RefSeq and is a predicted model, not a curated record. NCBI's taxonomy places the organism in Eukaryota, Viridiplantae, Streptophyta, Magnoliopsida, Fabales, Fabaceae.